GAUGGCGACCGGCGCACGGGUGAGUAACACGUAUCCAACCUGCCGAUGACUCGGGGAUAGCCUUUCGAAAGAAAGAUUAAUACCCGAUGCAUAGUUCUUCCGCAUGGUGGAACUAUUAAAGAAUUUCGGUCAUCGAUGGGGAUGCGUUCCAUUAGGUUGUUGGCGGGGUAACGGCCCACCAAGCCUUCGAUGGAUAGGGGUUCUGAGAGGAAGGUCCCCCACAUUGGAACUGAGACACGGUCCAAACUCCUACGGGAGGCAGCAUG
Molecule: ribosomal RNA, 266 nt
Filed under: uncultured bacterium
Lineage: Bacteria
Description: partial 16S ribosomal RNA
Rfam family: Bacterial small subunit ribosomal RNA
Source: RNAcentral